AUGAACCCAACAAGGGUGCGUUGUCCCCUCUACCCUGCGAGGGACACGGCCAUCCUCCCAACAGUCCCCAAUACCAGCAUCCAUCACGAUGGCUUCACAUACCACGAUCGUGAGAUCCUCGUCAGUCGCGGCGGCCAGUGUCUGUCCUACUUCUGUUUGGCAAUAAUGCAUAAAGAGCAGCAGACAGUUGUGGAUGUGUACGCACUACAACAAGGUACCAGCUGGACCAUCUACUCUUCAUCUGUAACUGACAUCCCUAGAAUUAGACUCCUAUUGCCUUCUACUUUACUCGCUGAUGCCAAGAUCUACAAUUUGGCCUUUGUGAACAGUUAUAAGUUGAUCCUGCUAGAUCUUGUGUCCCGAUCUUUGUCAUUUGUGAACUUUCCAGAAGAGGUUAAGCGGUUGAGCUUCGAGCUAUCGCUCACGAAUGAUUCUCAUCUUCAUCUGAUCCAUGUAAAGGGAUCUCAGCUUCGCAUCUGGCUCCACAGAAUGGAUAGCAAUAAUGGCGUCUCCAACUGGUUCCUUGAGCGUACCAUCUGUUUGCGUGAGAUAUGUGCUAACUAUAGGAUACCAACUUGCAUGUUCAAGGAUGGGAGUGAUUCAGCAGUUGCCAAGGUGCAUGCGGUUGGGGUAGAUUCUGACUUCGUUUUCUUGGAGAUGGAACAUGUCCUCUACCUCUUUGAUAUUAAGAGCAAGGCGGCAAAGAAGGUUUACAAGAUGACGCCAGAGGAUAAAAUUUUAUAUAGUGUCAUUCCUUUUAUGAUGGUUUGGCCUCCUAAAUUCCCUGCAUUGAAGGAGAUGCGCGAUCCAACAGAAUGA
RNAcentral lists this ribosomal RNA (819 nucleotides) under Triticum aestivum (bread wheat). RNAcentral describes it as "partial small subunit ribosomal RNA". Lineage: Eukaryota; Viridiplantae; Streptophyta; Magnoliopsida; Poales; Poaceae. The record is from RNAcentral.